RNAcentral lists this ribosomal RNA (253 nucleotides) under uncultured Zavarzinella sp. Its description in RNAcentral is "partial 16S ribosomal RNA". It matches the Rfam family "Bacterial small subunit ribosomal RNA", at positions 524 to 776 of the family's 1533-position model. Lineage: Bacteria; Pseudomonadati; Planctomycetota; Planctomycetia; Gemmatales; Gemmataceae. The record is from RNAcentral.
GACGAACCGAGCGAACGUUGUUCGGAAUCACUGGGCUUAAAGGGCGCGUAGGCGGGCUGCCAAGUCUGGGGUGAAAUCCUCUGGCUCAACCAGGGAAGUGCCUCGGAUACUGGCGGCCUCGAGGGGGGUAGGGGCGUGCGGAACUGUGGGUGGAGCGGUGAAAUGCGUUGAUAUCCACAGGAACUCCGGUGGCGAAGGCGGCACGCUGGACCCUCUCUGACGCUGAGGCGCGAAAGCCAGGGGAGCGAGCGGG